Molecule: ribosomal RNA, 321 nt
Filed under: uncultured Chloroflexota bacterium
Lineage: Bacteria; Bacillati; Chloroflexota
Description: bacterial SSU rRNA
Rfam family: Bacterial small subunit ribosomal RNA
Source: RNAcentral
GAUGAACGCUGGCGGCGUGCUUAAUACAUGCAAGUCGAACGGAGACAUUAGCAAUAAUGUCUUAGUGGCGAACGGGUGAGUAACGCGUUGGUGACCUGCCCCGAAGAGAGGGAUAACAGUUCGAAAGGAUUGCUAAUACCUCAUGUGGUUAUGGUGUUUAGAAAGCUAUAACUAAAGGAGCAAUCCGCUUUGGGAGGGGCCUGCGUCCCAUCAGCUAGUUGGUAGGGUAACGGCCUACCAAGGCUACGACGGGUAGGGGGCCUGAGAGGGUGGCCCCCCACACUGGCACUGAAACACGGGCCAGACACCUACGGGAGGCUG